GAGGGAGAAAGCCCGCAAGGGUUAGUAAACCGGCGAACGGGUGCGUAACACGUGGACAACCUACCUUCUCGACCGGGAUAACUCGCCGAAAGGCGAACUAAUACCGGAUAAGCCCCCGGACUCUACGGAGUCAGAGGGAAAAUGGCGGCCACUGUAAACAAGCUGUCACGAGAAGAUGGGUCCGCGGCCCAUCAGCUAGUUGGCGGGGUAACGGCCCACCAAGGCAACGACGGGUAGCUGGUCUGAGAGGAUGAUCAGCCACACUGGAACUGAGACACGGUCCAGACUCCUACGGGAGGCAGCAGUGGGGAAUCUUGCGCAAUGGGCGAAAGCCUGACGCAGCAACGCCGCGUGUGUGAUGAAGGUCUUCGGAUCGUAAAGCACUGUACGCGAGGGACGAUACGCCGCCGGCUAACAUCCGGCGGCUGAGACGGUACCUCGAGAGGAAGCACCGGCUAACUCUGUG
This 466-nucleotide ribosomal RNA is filed under the name uncultured bacterium. RNAcentral's name for it is "bacterial SSU rRNA". It matches the Rfam family "Bacterial small subunit ribosomal RNA", at positions 64 to 507 of the family's 1533-position model. The record is from RNAcentral.